UUUCUCUGUCUGCAUGAGGAGAAAUAAGCCACGCCCCCUCAUCUCAUCCAGCUGGGUACACAGCUCCUCACUUCCCCUCCCCCUGCUCUGUAUUCUAAGGACGCAGGUCUGCACAGGAGAAAGAACACAGAGAAGAUAAGUGAAGGGGAGGAUGAGAAGGUAAAUGUAGAAUAUAUUAGUCCCGGACUCAAUGCAAUAAACCUGUAGCUUCAACUGCUCAUAUCAGCCAGGCAGAGGGUCUGGGAGAAGAUGGACUUCAUGGAGCGCUCAGAGACAAACACCAGUGGUUUGAUUAACACACAUCUUUCAGCCUACAGAACCAUGGGUGAUGCCUCUACUGCUGCGUUGAAUACUUUUUGAUGCUACACUAAGGGGUAGACAAAAUAGAACACCUAUGGCAAACUGGAAAAGUACUGACCAAUGGUCAUAUCUGGUGACCCAUAAAUCCAUGGAGUCUGGG
Long non-coding RNA from Hyla sarda, 460 nucleotides. RefSeq lists it as uncharacterized. The transcript has 3 exons. Lineage: Eukaryota; Metazoa; Chordata; Amphibia; Anura; Hylidae. The record is from RefSeq and is a predicted model, not a curated record.